RNAcentral lists this ribosomal RNA (726 nucleotides) under uncultured bacterium. RNAcentral's name for it is "bacterial SSU rRNA". It matches the Rfam family "Bacterial small subunit ribosomal RNA", at positions 72 to 819 of the family's 1533-position model. The record is from RNAcentral.
UUCCGGGCUUGCUCGGAAAUUAGUGGCGAACGGCUGAGUAACGCGUAGGUGACCUACCCCGUAGUGAGGAAUAACUGCCCGAAAGGGUAGCUAAUACCUCAUGUUGAGACGCUUUCAUUAGUGUCUCCAAAGCAGCAAUGCGCUAUGGGCGGGGCCUGCGUUCGAUUAGCUAGUUGGUGAGGUAAUGGCUCACCAAGGCGACGAUCGAUAGGUGGUCUGAGAGGACGAUCACCCAGACUGGGACUGAGACACGGCCCAGACUCCUACGGGAGGCAGCAGUCGGGAAUUUUGCGCAAUGGGGGAAACCCUGACGCAGCAAUACCGCGUGUGGGAUGAAGGCCUUCGGGUCGUAAACCACUUUUCUCGGGGACGAUAAUGACGGUACCCGAGGAAUAAGCCACGGCUAACUACGUGCCAGCAGCCGCGGUAAUACGUAGGCGGCAAGCGUUGUCCGGAUUUACUGGGCGUAAAGCGCGCGCAGGCGGUGAAUGAAGUCGAAAGUGAAAGCCCCGGGCUCAACUCGGGAACAGCUUUCGAAACCAGUUCACUUGAAGGUGGAAGAGGGAAGUGGAAUUCCGAGUGUAGCGGUGGAAUGCGCAGAUAUUCGGAGGAACACCAGAGGCGAAGGCGACUUCCUGGUCCAAUCUUGACGCUGAGGCGCGAAAGCUAGGGGAGCAAACAGGAUUAGAUAUCCUGGUAGUCCUAGCUGUAAACGAUGGAUACUAG